AUAUCUCUCUGUACGGGAAGGAUGAGAAGCUUCGACUAAGGUUCGAUUCGAGCGUCAGCGAGAAAGCGUUGCCGCAGGCAACGACCCGAAGCGCGCAGCGCUGAGUCAUCCUUCCCCCACCACCA
Molecule: small RNA, 125 nt
Filed under: Salmonella enterica
Lineage: Bacteria; Pseudomonadati; Pseudomonadota; Gammaproteobacteria; Enterobacterales; Enterobacteriaceae
Also listed under: 1 other name
Description: RtT sRNA
Rfam family: RtT RNA
About the family: This family represents a bacterial cis-regulatory element known as RtT RNA. The exact function of RtT is unknown although it is thought that it may be involved in changing the cellular response in relation to amino acid starvation.
Source: RNAcentral